RNAcentral lists this ribosomal RNA (598 nucleotides) under Bacteroides sp. Its description in RNAcentral is "bacterial SSU rRNA". It matches the Rfam family "Bacterial small subunit ribosomal RNA", at positions 1 to 585 of the family's 1533-position model. Lineage: Bacteria; Pseudomonadati; Bacteroidota; Bacteroidia; Bacteroidales; Bacteroidaceae. The record is from RNAcentral.
AACAACGGAGAGUUUGAUCCUGGCUCAGGAUGAACGCUAGCGACAGGCUUAACACAUGCAAGUCGAGGGGCAGCGGGGAGGAAAGCUUGCUUUUCUCCGCCGGCGACCGGCGCACGGGUGAGUAACACGUAUGCAACCUGCCUCAGACAGGGGGAUAAUCGGCGGAAACGCCGUCUAAUACCGCGUAAAAUCUCAGGGGACAUCCCCUGAGGUAGAAAGGCUUCGGCCGGUCUGAGAUGGGCAUGCGGCGCAUUAGUUAGUUGGCGGGGUAACGGCCCACCAAGACGACGAUGCGUAGGGGUUCUGAGAGGAAGGUCCCCCACACUGGUACUGAGACACGGACCAGACUCCUACGGGAGGCAGCAGUGAGGAAUAUUGGUCAAUGGGCGCGAGCCUGAACCAGCCAAGUCGCGUGAGGGAAGACGGCCCUAAGGGUUGUAAACCUCUUUUGUCAGGGAGCAAACGAGCCUCGUGAGGCUUUAUGAGAGUACCUGAAGAAAAAGCAUCGGCUAACUCCGUGCCAGCAGCCGCGGUAAUACGGAGGAUGCGAGCGUUAUCCGGAUUUAUUGGGUUUAAAGGGUGCGUAGGCGGAAGAUCA